Molecule: ribosomal RNA, 753 nt
Filed under: Staphylococcus epidermidis
Lineage: Bacteria; Bacillati; Bacillota; Bacilli; Caryophanales; Staphylococcaceae
Also listed under: 1 other name
Description: bacterial SSU rRNA
Rfam family: Bacterial small subunit ribosomal RNA
Source: RNAcentral
AGACAAGUCGAGCGAACAGACGAGGAGCUUGCUCCUCUGACGUUAGCGGCGGACGGGUGAGUAACACGUGGAUAACCUACCUAUAAGACUGGGAUAACUUCGGGAAACCGGAGCUAAUACCGGAUAAUAUAUUGAACCGCAUGGUUCAAUAGUGAAAGACGGUUUUGCUGUCACUUAUAGAUGGAUCCGCGCCGCAUUAGCUAGUUGGUAAGGUAACGGCUUACCAAGGCAACGAUGCGUAGCCGACCUGAGAGGGUGAUCGGCCACACUGGAACUGAGACACGGUCCAGACUCCUACGGGAGGCAGCAGUAGGGAAUCUUCCGCAAUGGGCGAAAGCCUGACGGAGCAACGCCGCGUGAGUGAUGAAGGUCUUCGGAUCGUAAAACUCUGUUAUUAGGGAAGAACAAAUGUGUAAGUAACUAUGCACGUCUUGACGGUACCUAAUCAGAAAGCCACGGCUAACUACGUGCCAGCAGCCGCGGUAAUACGUAGGUGGCAAGCGUUAUCCGGAAUUAUUGGGCGUAAAGCGCGCGUAGGCGGUUUUUUAAGUCUGAUGUGAAAGCCCACGGCUCAACCGUGGAGGGUCAUUGGAAACUGGAAAACUUGAGUGCAGAAGAGGAAAGUGGAAUUCCAUGUGUAGCGGUGAAAUGCGCAGAGAUAUGGAGGAACACCAGUGGCGAAGCGACUUUCUGUCUGUAACUGACGCUGAUGUGCGAAAGCGUGGAUCAAACAGAUUAGAUACCUGUAGUCAC